This 402-nucleotide ribosomal RNA is filed under the name uncultured bacterium. Its description in RNAcentral is "bacterial SSU rRNA". It matches the Rfam family "Bacterial small subunit ribosomal RNA", at positions 11 to 413 of the family's 1533-position model. The record is from RNAcentral.
GUUUGAUCCUGGCUCAGAUUGAACGCUGGCGGCAUGCUUUACACAUGCAAGUCGAACGGCAGCACGGGGGCAACCCUGGUGGCGAGUGGCGAACGGGUGAGUAAUAUAUCGGAACGUACCCGGAAAUGGGGGAUAACGUAGCGAAAGUUACGCUAAUACCGCAUAUGCCCUAAGGGGGAAAGCGGGGGAUUCGCAAGAACCUCGCGUUUUCGGAGCGGCCGAUAUCGGAUUAGCUAGUAGGUGAGGUAAAGGCUCACCUAGGCGACGAUCCGUAGCUGGUCUGAGAGGACGACCAGCCACACUGGAACUGAGACACGGUCCAGACUCCUACGGGAGGCAGCAGUGGGGAAUUUUGGACAAUGGGCGCAAGCCUGAUCCAGCCAUGCCGCGUGAGUGAAGAGG